This 601-nucleotide ribosomal RNA is filed under the name uncultured freshwater bacterium. RNAcentral's name for it is "bacterial SSU rRNA". It matches the Rfam family "Bacterial small subunit ribosomal RNA", at positions 8 to 607 of the family's 1533-position model. The record is from RNAcentral.
AGAGUUUGAUCCUGGCUCAGAUUGAACGCUGGCGGCAUGCCCUACACAUGCAAGUCGAACGUGAAAGGGGGCAACCCCGAGUAGAGUGGCGAACGGGUGAGUAAUGCAUCGGAGCGUGCCCAGUAGUGGGGGACAACCUCGAGAAAUCGAGGCUAAUACCGCAUACGACCUACGGGUGAAAGCGGGGGACCGCAAGGCCUCGCGCUAUUGGAGCGGCCGAUGUCCGAUUAGCUUGUUGGUGGGGUAACGGCCCACCAAGGCGACGAUCGGUAGCUGGUCUGAGAGGACGACCAGCCACACUGGGACUGAGACACGGCCCAGACUCCUACGGGAGGCAGCAGUGGGGAAUUUUGGACAAUGGGGGCAACCCUGAUCCAGCCAUGCCGCGUGCGGGAAGAAGGCCUUCGGGUUGUAAACCGCUUUCGGCCGGAACGAAAUCGCCCGGGAUAACACCCCGGGUGGAUGACGGUACCGGAAGAAGAAGCACCGGCUAACUACGUGCCAGCAGCCGCGGUAAUACGUAGGGUGCGAGCGUUAAUCGGAAUUACUGGGCGUAAAGCGUGCGCAGGCGGUUCGCUAAGACAGAUGUGAAAUCCCUCGG